RNAcentral lists this unclassified non-coding RNA (609 nucleotides) under Euthamia graminifolia. RNAcentral's name for it is "partial external transcribed spacer". Lineage: Eukaryota; Viridiplantae; Streptophyta; Magnoliopsida; Asterales; Asteraceae. The record is from RNAcentral.
GUAUUUUGGGGUCGUACUUGGCUUUCGGUUGUUUGCUCGGCUUUAAUUUAGCCUUGUGGGUGGCUGUUAGGCAAUGCGGCUUCGGGAAUAUUUACCGUAAAAGGUGCAUGAGUGGUGUUUGGUUUGAUACGGGUGGUCGGCUCCCUGCUUGAGCAGGCACGGCCACGCGUGCAUUCCUUUUCAGCUGUGCGACAAGGCUUGUAUCGUCUUGAUCGUAUAAGUGGGUUUCCUGUGUUGCAUACCUGAUCAAUGGCAUCGUCUUGAUCAAAAGUGUCUAUUUUUCGUCUGGCAAUGCACCUGCAUUGUCGGAUGAACCACGUAGCAUCCUCUUUGAUCCAUACAGUUGACGUGCUAUCGUUGAUUGUUUGGCCCAUUGAGCGGUGACUCGGUCUCUCGGAUAUGGAAGCCAAAGUGGGCAUGGGAUCGCAAGAUCUCUUUAUUGUCCUCAUUGAGCGUCCUCACUUCUCUUACAUGACCGCCUUUCACGUAUGGCUACGUCCCAGCGUGUUUGGCUACGUCGAAGAGGAAUGUUGGGCGUUCUUGCUUUUCUUACACGACUGCCUUUCACGUAUGGCACGUCCCAGCGUGUUUGGCUAUGUCGAAGAGGAA